CAGAGAAAAAAAGAAGUGACCCGAAGUAUUUUCUAAGAAAAUUAUGGACAACUUAUUGUAAAUAGAAGCUCUUAAAAGUAACAUUGUCAUAUAACAGACUAUGAAUACUACUCAAAGCCAUGUUUCUUGUCCUCUGAGCCUCAAAUUAAAAGACAACUCCUAACCAGUACCAUAAUCUCCAGUACUUACCAACCAAAAGAUGUGUCUGAAAUGUGCUUUCCAUCAGAACAGAAUUCAGAAAUUUGGAUCUCAUUAGAGCCUCUUGGAUGGAGGAGACAGAUUCCCUCAAGUCUGGGUGUUAUUUCCAGAGGAAUGAUGAAGGAGAAAUCUAGCAAAAUAAAAACAGAUCUCAUACACAGCUAUAGGGUUUCCUCAGAGAUUUCACCCUGGAAUCCAAAGGAUUUGAAGAAGCUGAACUUCUCCCACUUCUUUGAUGCUCAUCAAAAAUCUUGUCUUUUAAAGCAGUCAAGGAAAUAAAUAUUCCUACCCACUCUCCCAAAUGUGUUUCCUUUAGGGAAGACUCUUAAUGAAACCCAGGCUACAUUUAAAGCCACAGUAGCAAAAUAUUUUAUUUUAAAAGAAAGUUAUAUUAAAUACAUUUAGAUAAAAUUAUGUGGCUAAGACAGAGGACAAGAGGCAUGAAAGUUGUCUUUAAUAUUAAAGUGCUACCACAUGGAAACAGGAUUAAAACAAUUCUGAGCUGCUUCUCAGAGAAUAAAUUAACCAGUGGUUGAGAUGGGCAUAGCCUAUACAAGGAAGAUGUUUUCUAACAAUUAGGCUUCUUCCUGACCCAAGCAGUUGCUAAUUUACUGCAUAUUUUCUAGAGAAAUGCACAGGGAAGAAAUUGAAUUGGAUGGUCUCUAAGCUUGCUUUAGAUCUGAGAUCCUGGUGAUUAAGCCUUUAGUGAGCCAAAAGGAGUCUUAAAUUUCUUCUACAGAACCAUACGAUAUAGCACAGCUCCUGGUAUUUUAUUAAUAUUUACCAUCUGAUGUAUAGAUUGUUAAGCCAAAACUUAGAUAAAAAAAUUAUAUUAUGUUAUCCCCUUAUAAAAUUGGCUCUUUUGAUAGAGCUAAUCUCAGUUUUAGUUUAUGUUGCUGACUUGUUUCAUUCUAUUUUCUUCUGAAAGCAAAAAGGAGAAGAUACCGCUGAGUAUACAGCCAGAAAACCCCUCACAAGAGAGAGAACAAGAAAUCUCUCCAACAGAAGCAUCUUCAAAUACAUGAAAAUGAGCACAUCCAAAGAAGUGACCAGUGUCCUGUGAUGUCUUUUGAUAAGACAAGUUGGAACUACUCUGUACAUUCACUCAGUAUUCAGAUCAGGUUAGACACUUUAAUUUCAACAAUGGCUUUAUUUGUUCAUUUACAAAUCAACAGAAUUAAAAAACCACAAAACAGUCAAAACAGUCCUUACCUAUUGACCUUAAGGUCCUCUCUUAGAAUUUUAUUAAUGAUUUUAACAUUUGUAAAGAAGAAAAUGAAUGCUUAAGUUAAGGUGCAAGUCGAAUUGUGACUUCUCUUCAUCCUGUACUUAUUUUAAGUCUUUAGUGAGAGUAAAAGAAACAUAAUUUGCUGUAUUGUAGAACUGAAUUCUGGAAAAGGAUUGGAAGUAUAGUAGAAAUAAUUCUAGGUAGAAAAGAAAGAUGUUUUGGUUUUAGUUUUGGCUGUAAAACAACUAACUAUGUGGCCUUGGAGUGUCGUUUCACUUAGUUAUUAAAUUUCAUAAUGUAUAAAAUGAUGUAAUUACUAUAUAUAUUCUUUUCAAAUAGUUUUUGCUUAUGAAAUUCUGUAGCAGCCAUGAAGCUGUACCACCCAGAUCUUUAAGAGAGAACUUUCUCCAAAGAAUGUAAUUAGCUUACAGUUCCCAACUGUUGCAUCUUUAAAAUCUGAUAUUGUGUUUAUGCCCAGGCCACUUUCUUCCUGGGCUACUGCCAAUGGCUUAAAAUAGUGGAGGUUUAAGAAUUGUGUCAUUUGUUUCUUAUGAGGGUAAUUUCUUCUAUCAAGUAAUCAUUGCUCAGAAUCUCUCCAUCAGGCUAGCAGGAGUUUCACAGAGCUCUGCUGUAGUUUGAGGCUGUUACCACUCAAUCUUUUCCCCUUUCUUCUCUUUCUUCCUAAGUAUCAGAUCAACAUUGUGGUCUAGAGCUCACCCAUGUGGCAGCUAGGAGAAAGUACUUCACAUGUCUCCAACUGCAGGGAGAAUAAUGGACUAAGGGCUCCAUCUGCUGUGCUCUGAUGUCCAUUGCCAAGAUUGUGAACUUUCUGAAGACCUUGCUGACACACUCUUAAAAUUGCACAGCUGUCUGAGCUACCGCCACUCAACCAACCCUCUCUCUUUCCCUUAAGACAGAAUUUUCAUCAUGGUCUCAUGGCUCUUCCAGCCUUCCCCAGCCACCCGCCCAUUUACUUUCACACAGGGAUUUUCACUAUAUUAGUCCUGAUAUUUAAAACUCCAUCUUGGCCUCUUCUUCCCAGGCUUUAGACAUCUCAUUAUGUCUAUCUCUGCUCCUUUUACCUUUAUCAUUCACACGAUAUGUCUAAUCAAUAUCUUAUGUUGUUUUUUCUUUUUUGGUCACUCCCAAGGCAUUUGGAAGUUCCCAGGCCAGGGAUCAAAUCUGAGCCAGAACGGUGACCUACACCACAGCUGCAGCAAUGCGGCUGGAUCCUUUACCCACUGCACAGGGCCAGGAAUCAAAUCAGCACCUCCAUAGAGACAAGCUGGAUCAUUAACUCAUUGCACCACCACAGCAGGAACUCCAAUAUUUUACAUUCUUGGUUCCGUACUGAUAUAUGCUUUCUGGAGGUCCAAUACUGACUCAGAUUCUUUCUUUGAAUUGGAAUUCAACAGGAAGGCUCAAUCUUGGAAGUAAUACAAUGGGUCUCUUCUGGCUGAAGCAAGAGUUGGGGGUCCUUUAUUCAUUGCCACUCUCACCCUAGCUUUGCCUCCAGUGGAAGUUCCUGAAACAUCUUUGAGGACAUCUAAAUGUUUUAAUUGAAAACCAUAUAUAAGGCGUUUACAAUGCCUCCCAAAUCUGGUAUUUUACCACCAGAGUCAGGCCAUGGUAAGGUGUCCCCAGGUAGCAGCUACAAAAAUCGAGGCACCAGACAAGGGUAUUAGUUCUUUCUGAGAAAUACCCGCAAGGUGGAGUGAGGCAUAGAAGAGUGCAACAAUGGCACCCACCAGCCUCUGUUUCCUGAAAGUGGUUUUGUGGGCCCCUAGAUGUGGGCCAAACCAGAGGCCUGCCUCUCAGGCCAAAGCCUAGAUGAGCAAAUAGGCCUCUUUCAUAGAAAGACUGGGGUGUGUUCAGUCAUCCCCCUGUGCUCUGGGGGGUGAGAGCCCACCAAGACCUGCCUCUCCCAUUGUUACAGUCCCAUAGGACCCAGGAACACAAGCUCCCCCCCCCCAUUUCCAGAGCCAGGCAGGCAUUAAGGGGUGUCCCUUGGGUGUAGCCACAAAAUCAGGGACCAGACUAUAUAAAAGUUCUGAUAAAUACAGGUCCUCUGGAGCAUGGUAGAGGUGGAGUGUGUGGAUGCAACUCACUGGGGUGGUGGUGGGGAGUGGAAGAAAAAACAGAUCUAGAAUUAAAAAAAAAAGAUUUUUUUUAGAGGUGCCCAGAUCUGGGGGGAGUGGAGAAAGAUGGUGUUCUCAGGAUAUAAAAGAAAAUAAAAAUGGUGUCGCAAGUGUGGAGAUGGAGGAAAAAAGAAAAAUUAAAAAAAAAAAAAAA
This 3718-nucleotide long non-coding RNA is filed under the name Sus scrofa (pig). RNAcentral describes it as "lncRNA (ENSSSCG00045021474.1)". The record is from RNAcentral. Lineage: Eukaryota; Metazoa; Chordata; Mammalia; Artiodactyla; Suidae.